CUUAAAACAUUGAUGAAGAGUAGUAAUCUAAUUGAACGCAAAAGAGAGCUGAUGGAUGGUGAGAAUCAGUGUGUUUCAUUAGAUGAAUGGACUUCGGAGUUUCCAAACCGAACCGUAAUUGUAGUAGGCUUUGGCGAGUUAAUCUCAUCGUUAUCUGAGAACUACAUAAAGCUAAGUAAAGCUUCAUGUAAUAAAGUGAGUUGUAUAUAUGCAACUAAUAAAGGUGGUACCACGGUCCCUCGUCCUUUGU
This 250-nucleotide non-coding RNA is filed under the name Virgibacillus chiguensis. Its description in RNAcentral is "T-box sequence". It matches the Rfam family "T-box leader". Rfam says of the family: Uncharged tRNA acts as the effector for transcription antitermination of genes in the T-box leader family. Lineage: Bacteria; Bacillati; Bacillota; Bacilli; Caryophanales; Bacillaceae. The record is from RNAcentral.